UACGGGGGGGGCAAGCGUUGUUCGGAAUUACUGGGCGUAAAGGGCGCGUAGGCGGGUGGACAAGUCUCUCGUGAAAGCCCACGGCUCAACCGUGGAAUUGCGGGAGAUACUGUCUGUCUUGAGUCCGGGAGAGGAGGGUGGAAUUCCCAGUGUAGCGGUGAAAUGCGUAGAUAUCUGGAGGAACACCGGUGGCGAAGGCGGCAUCCUGGACCGAGAUUGACGCUGAGGCGCGAAAGCUAGGGUAGCAAACGGG
Molecule: ribosomal RNA, 253 nt
Filed under: uncultured bacterium
Lineage: Bacteria
Description: partial 16S ribosomal RNA
Rfam family: Bacterial small subunit ribosomal RNA
Source: RNAcentral